Regulatory RNA element from Cavia porcellus (domestic guinea pig), 371 nucleotides. It matches the Rfam family "Mason-Pfizer monkey virus packaging signal". From Rfam's summary of the family: The packaging signal is located in the 5' UTR and is required for specific RNA encapsidation. Lineage: Eukaryota; Metazoa; Chordata; Mammalia; Rodentia; Caviidae. The record is from Rfam.
UGGCGCCCAAUGUGGGGCUCCUGGCACAAGGGAGUCAACAAGGGAGCCGUUUGAGAAAGCCGGCUAAAAGUGAAACCAAAUUGAACCAAAGACCGCGGUGAAAGGAAAAACAAACUAAAUCGAAGACUAAGGCUAAAAGCAAAAGGACAUUAAAUCAAGGACCAAGGCCAACGUGGACAACUACCCAAAAUCCUGCUCGAGUCACAGUGAGUGAAUGGCGACCCCAUUCCCUUUCCCGGACAUGUGUCAAGCAUUGAGCGAACACAAAGUGUUCGUGGGAGGCCUUAUAAAGGCAUGAAAGACAAGAGGGGUAAGGGUUAGAACAAAAGAAUUAUUGCAGUAUUUUCAAUUUAUUCAUAAGGUUUGCCCUU